UGCCUAACACAUGCAAGUCGAACGAGGGCCCCGCUUCGGUGGGACCCUAGUGGCGCACGGGUGAGUAACGCGUGGGAACCUGCCCUGUGGUACGGAAUAACUCCGGGAAACUGGAGCUAAUACCGUAUGUGUCCUUUGGGACAAAGAUUUAUCGCCAUGGGAUGGGCCCGCGUAGGAUUAGCUUGUUGGUGGGGUAACGGCCUACCAAGGCUUCGAUCCUUAGCUGGUCUGAGAGGAUGAUCAGCCACACUGGGACUGAGACACGGCCCAGACUCCUACGGGAGGCAGCAGUGGGGAAUAUUGGACAAUGGGCGCAAGCCUGAUCCAGCAAUGCCGCGUGAGUGAUGAAGGCCUUCGGGUUGUAAAGCUCUUUCGCACGCGACGAUGAUGACGGUAGCGUGAGAAGAAGCCCCGGCUAACUUCGUGCCAGCAGCCGCGGUAAUACGAAGGGGGCUAGCGUUGUUCGGAAUUACUGGGCGUAAAGGGCGCGUAGGCGGUACUUCAAGUCAGGCGUGAAAGCCCCCGGGCUCAACCUGGGAACCGCGCUUGAGACUGGAGAACUAGAGUUCGGGAGAGGAUGGUGGAAUUCCCAGUGUAGAGGUGAAAUUCGUAGAUAUUGGGAAGAACACCGAUGGCGAAGGCAGCCAUCUGGACCGACACUGACGCUGAGGCGCGAAAGCGUGGGGAGCAAACAGG
RNAcentral lists this ribosomal RNA (696 nucleotides) under uncultured Alphaproteobacteria bacterium. RNAcentral's name for it is "bacterial SSU rRNA". It matches the Rfam family "Bacterial small subunit ribosomal RNA", at positions 45 to 776 of the family's 1533-position model. Lineage: Bacteria; Pseudomonadati; Pseudomonadota; Alphaproteobacteria. The record is from RNAcentral.